Long non-coding RNA from Dermochelys coriacea (leatherback sea turtle), 3511 nucleotides. RefSeq lists it as uncharacterized. NCBI's taxonomy places the organism in Eukaryota, Metazoa, Chordata, Testudines, Dermochelyidae. The record is from RefSeq and is a predicted model, not a curated record. The transcript has 4 exons.
CACCUUUCUGAGCGACCAAUACUUGCGGGUUCGUUCGCCUGGGGUGCCGGGGGAGGCGGUAUUCCCGCCCAUUGGCUCGCCGGGACGCGCUGUGAUUUGUCACUGGACAUUUCGCUAUGCGGUCCCGCCCCUCGCCCGAUCCCGAUAGGCUGGCAGUGCAGGGGCGGUUCGAUCUCCGCGGGCCCAGGCUGGGCGGUGCCGCAGGGCGGGAGGAGAUUCCGUUCUCUGAUUGGCCCGCGGCGGGGCGGGCGCUGAUUGGACGCAGCGGCAGGCUCUGUGCGCGGAGGUGUACGCGGCGGGGCGGGAGUGGCGGAGACGGACCGAGGAAAAUGUCAGCCUUUGUAGAAUAAGCUUAGACACAUCUACAAACAAGAGGAAUCGAAGUCUCAAAAGGUGAGUCUGGAGGAAGAUAGAGAGAGGGAGAAAACAGUCUGGAUUUGAAUUGAGAGAUCUGGACCCAAGCCUUGUGAUGAUGAGCUAUACUCUCAAGAAACAUGACCAGCAAAUCACUGGACCAAAUACCAAUUCUGUAGGUCAUACCAAAGCUAGGUGUGGUGCCCACUGUAGAAGAGCUAAGCAAGACGAUUGAUUUGCUAUCAAGUGGCAAGGCCCCUGGAAAAGAUGGCAUCCCAGCAGAAAUUCUCAAAUGCGGGUGCGACAGGGCGGACCAUCCUCGCACUGGGACUAAGAGGGUUAACCCUUCCCUCCUAGCAGAGGAAACCAUGCUCCCUGAGGUUCUGCUGGGCAUGCUCCAACUGGAGGUCAGGUCAUAAAAGCCUGCAGAGCUGCUCAGUCAGGGCUGGUGGCCGAGGAGGAAGGACACUCAGCGGAGGCUCCAGCCCAGGAGCUGUUACAGCCCUUACCCGGGAGAGCUGAAGAGCCAAGAACCUGGACUGGAGGCCCGCAGCUAUUGGAACCCCAGAAAGCGUCUGGUGCUGAGAGCCCUGGAGACCCUGAUACCACAGGGACUACGGCGGCCGGAGGACUGGUAGGAAGAGACCCAGGGAAGGUAAGGGAGUGGUACUUCCCAUUACUAUAAGGUCAGCGUGUUUCGGUUGGAUUCCCCGCUGACCCCGUGGUGGAUCACUCCGUCUCUGACAGGGUUGGAGCCCAGUGAAGGCGGGUUGGCCUGGGCUCCCCUACCGGUGGUCACUGCCUCCCCCUUUUUUCUUGAGGUGACAUAAUUCCCCAACCCCUCGCUUGCCUCAGAGGAUUUAGAGGGACCCUGGGCCAUUGGGCCAUACCACUCUAGGAGCUUACUAUAUGGACUCCAGCUGCUGGGCUGCACUACCCACUAGGGGGAGAGUUUAGGGGGACUCUGGCCCUUGAGAUGCACCGUACUGACUACCGGAGGAGUAGUAGAACAGACAUAGGUGCAGAAAGGUGGGGUUACCCCUCGCCCCCACCCAGAUAGAAGGGGUGAAUGAGGUACAAAACCCGCAACAGCGGGAAAGACAGCCUAUUGCCAUAUGUUCAUCAGCUGCUACUUAAAUGUUGGAAAGAGAAAGGUACCACAAGAGAUGCAUGAUGCAAACAUCAUCACUUUGUAUAAAAAUAAAGGCGAAAACUGCCACUGCAACAGCUACAGGGGUAUCUUGUUACUAAGUGUAGCCGGAAAAGAUUUCAGAAAAGUCAUCUUGGUGCACCUACAACAGCUGGCGGAUUGUGUCUACCCUGAAUCACAGUGCUGAUUCAGGGCUAGAAGAUCAACUAUAGACAUGAUAUUUCUCUGCAUCAACUCGAAGAAAAGUGCAGAGAGCAAAACCAACUAUUGUACAUCACCUUUUGUGGACCUAGCCAAAGCAUUUGACACAGUCAGCAGAGCAGGUCUGUUUGCAACAUUAGAAAAGAUAGGAUGCCUACCAACCCUGUUAAGUCUUAUACAUUCAUUCCACAACAACAUGAGAGCAACUGUCCAGUUUGACGGGUCCACUUCGGACAGCUUUGAGAUGAAAAGUGGAGUGAAGAAAGGAUGUGUUCUUGCCCCUACACUUCUGGAAUCUUCUUCUCUGUACUCUUGAGCUGUGCGUUUAAGGACAUGAAAGAUGGAGCCCAUCUCCACACAGUAUCGGAUGGGAAAGUUCUUCAACCUGUCCGACUUAAGUCAAAGACCAAAGUAAAACAGGUGGUAAUCAGGGAACUUCUAUUUGCUGAUGAUGCUGACCACGUAGCCCACAAUGAAGAUCUACUACAAGAACUCAUGGACUGCCUUUCAAUGCCUGUCAGGCAUUUGCUCUCUCAACCAUUUUCUUGAUGCUAUGGUAUUAGGACAGGGGAUUCCACAAGAUCCUUCAAUUACCUUAAAUGCAAACCAGCUAGACGUAGUCCAAACAUUCAGUUAUUUAGGUUCUACAGUGACCAUCAACCUCUCACUGGAUGAAGAACUAAAUGUUUGCAUUGGAAAGGCUGCCACCAUAUUUAUCAUUAACUAACUCAAACAACUCAAAGCUUACCAUCAAGUCCAAAAUGUUAAUGUACCAAGCUUAAGUCCCCAGCACUCUCAUGUAUGGUUGGGAAACAUGGACAACUUAUGCUUUUCAGGAGAAAAGGUUAAACGGUUUCCACCUACUUUGUUUACGCCACAUACUCAACACCAAAUAGCAGGAUAAAGUCACCAAUGCAGAGGUUCUUUGAAGGGCAAAUUUACCAAGUGUGACAGCCCUGCUCAAGCGAAGAUGACUGCGCUGGCUGGGCCAUCUGAGUAGGUUGGAAGACAGAUGCAUACCUAAGGGCAUGCUAUAAGGGGAGCUAUCAGAGGGAACAAGAACAGGUCAUUCUAAACUUCACUAUAAAGACAGAUACAAGCGAGAUAUGAAGGAAUUUUGGAAUUGAUCCUGACGAACGGGAAAACUUGGCAAGUGAUCGUGGCAAGUGGCGCAAUCCUCUCCAUCAGGGUAUCAAAGUCCAUGACAGAAGCUGGCUCCUACAGCUUGAAGAGGAGCCCGUAGGAAGCAAGCAGCUCCUAACCAAAAUACAGACAUUUGCAAUAACUGCCAAAGAUCAUGCAAAUUUCGGAUUGGACUAGUUAGUUACAUCAUAGGCUGCAGUGCCUACCGUCUCUUGCAGACGAAAGGAUGCCAACAAAGGAGCUGUAAAUUUGAAGUCACUAAAGUCAGGAAAUGAAAAAUGUAAAGCUCUCUUGGAGCAAUGGUAAUUCUGCUGCUUUGCACUUGUGCAAUAGUUUGGGUUCCUAAUGUGGCUGUUAAAUGUAUUCCAUAGUCUUGCAGGGAACCUAGUUUCUCCAUUGAUAAGAUCGAUGCUAGCUUUCUAUUAGAAGUAUGAUUUUUACACUUGCACCUAUAUUGUUCCGAAUAUCAGCAAAACUAAACCAAGCCGCUUCAAUUUUCACAAGUCAUAAUAGGCAAGGGUGGAUUUUUUCUGGAAAAUUUGACUCUAAACCAGGAGUCUGCAACCUUUUAGAAGUGGUGUGCCGAGUCUUCAUUUAUUCGCUUUAAGGUUUUGCGUGCCAGUAAUGCAUUUUAAUGUUGUUUUUUUUUAAAGGUCUCUCUCU